RNAcentral lists this ribosomal RNA (481 nucleotides) under uncultured bacterium. RNAcentral's name for it is "bacterial SSU rRNA". It matches the Rfam family "Bacterial small subunit ribosomal RNA", at positions 28 to 505 of the family's 1533-position model. The record is from RNAcentral.
GAUGAACGCUAGCGACAGGCCUAACACAUGCAAGUCGAGGGGCAGCACAAGGAGCAAUCUGAGGUGGCGACCGGCGCACGGGUGAGUAACGCGUAUGCAACCUGCCUGUAAGCGGGGAAUAACCCGUUGAAAGACGGACUAAUACCGCAUAAUACUAAAUUACUGCAUGGUAAUUUAUUUAAACAUUUAUGGCUUACAGAUGGGCAUGCGCAUGAUUAGCUAGUUGGAGAGGUAACGGCUCCCCAAGGCAACGAUCAUUAGGGGUUCUGAGAGGAAGGUCCCCCACACUGGUACUGAGACACGGACCAGACUCCUACGGGAGGCAGCAGUGAGGAAUAUUGGUCAAUGGACGAGAGUCUGAACCAGCCAAGUCGCGUGCAGGAAGAAUGUCCUAUGGAUUGUAAACUGCUUUUGCAGGGGAAUAAAGUGCAUCACGUGUGAUGUUUUGUAUGUACUCUGCGAAUAGGAUCGGCUAACUCCG